RNAcentral lists this unclassified non-coding RNA (321 nucleotides) under uncultured Russula. Its description in RNAcentral is "sequence contains ITS2". Lineage: Eukaryota; Fungi; Basidiomycota; Agaricomycetes; Russulales; Russulaceae. The record is from RNAcentral.
AACGCACCUUGCGCCCUUUGGCAUUCCGAGGGGCACACCCGUUUGAGUGUCGUGACAUUCUCAAAACCUUCUUGGUUUCUUGACCGGGAAGGCUUUGGACUUUGGAGGCUUUUGCUGGCUUCCCUUUGUUGGAGCCAGCUCCUCUGAAAUGGAUUAGCAAGGUCUGCUUUGCCGAUCCUUGACGUGAUAAGAUGUUUUCUACGUCUCGGGUUCUGCACUCCUGCUUCUAACCGUCUCACAGAAGACAAAUGGUCAAAGUGAUUGCCACUUUGACCCACGAACCUUGACCUCAAAUCGGGUGAGACUACCCGCUGAACUUAA